GUGGGGAAUCUUAGACAAUGGGGGAAACCCUGAUCUAGCCAUGCCGCGUGAGCGAUGAAGGCCUUAGGGUUGUAAAGCUCUUUCAGCUGGGAAGAUAAUGACGGUACCAGCAGAAGAAGCCCCGGCUAACUCCGUGCCAGCAGCCGCGGUAAUACGGAGGGGGCUAGCGUUGUUCGGAAUUACUGGGCGUAAAGCGCACGUAGGCGGAUCAGAAAGUCAGAGGUGAAAUCCCAGGGCUCAACCUUGGAACUGCCUUUGAAACUCCUGGUCUUGAGGUCGAGAGAGGUGAGUGGAAUUCCGAGUGUAGAGGUGAAAUUCGUAGAUAUUCGGAGGAACACCAGUGGCGAAGGCGGCGCACGGGCUCGAUACUGACGCUGAGGUGCGAAAGCGUGGGGAGCAAACAGGAUUAGAUACCCGGGUAGUCC
RNAcentral lists this ribosomal RNA (425 nucleotides) under uncultured bacterium. Its description in RNAcentral is "partial 16S ribosomal RNA". It matches the Rfam family "Bacterial small subunit ribosomal RNA", at positions 354 to 796 of the family's 1533-position model. The record is from RNAcentral.